Molecule: unclassified non-coding RNA, 336 nt
Filed under: Hevea brasiliensis (rubber tree)
Lineage: Eukaryota; Viridiplantae; Streptophyta; Magnoliopsida; Malpighiales; Euphorbiaceae
Source: RNAcentral
AUUCUCGUAUUCAUACGUAGUAAAACAACACGUACGUACUCAAACUUACAAAGUAGACGGACAAAGUAUAAGCUGGAUCACGCUGCCUCGCUGGAUAACAACUCGAGUUCAGCCCACCACAGAGGAGAAAGCCUUGGAACUGCAGCAUUUGGCGAUACAUCAAUUGCUUCCCUUAAUUUAUCAAUGGAUUCUUUGAUAGUUGGUCUCUUCCUUGGAUCUUCUUGAAGGCAUUGUUCAAUUACUUCACAAAUAACCAUAAGCUCAUUAUUCUUGAAAGACUUCAAUGAUGGAUCCACCAAAGAGGCGAUAUUCUGCUUGUCGUGACGUAAAUAUUGU